AAAAAAUAAUCGCUUAGGAUAGGCGUUCACACGAAUAACUUGCUUUUACCUAAAUCAUUUCUUUACAGAUUUGAGAUUAAGGAGCGUUCUUUAACAUUUUUAUAAGUUCAAUCAAGUCACAUCAUAGUGUCUUAGUUUUUUAAUUUAGAUAUGAAUGAUGUGCAAAUGUCACCAAACCCGUCAUGUUUUAGAACAUAAGUUUGGUGUACAUACUGCAAAGUAAUUUUGCCGAAUGACAAUAGAUACUUGAAGAACAUUAAUCAUUAAGUUGUUUGAUGUAAUAUGGUCAAGUAAUUAAGCGCAUACGGUGGAUGA
This 315-nucleotide unclassified non-coding RNA is filed under the name uncultured marine bacterium 311. RNAcentral describes it as "partial 16S-23S ribosomal RNA intergenic spacer". The record is from RNAcentral.